AUUGAACGCUGGCGGCAUGCCUUACACAUGCAAGUCGAACGGUAACAGGUCUUCGGAUGCUGACGAGUGGCGAACGGGUGAGUAAUACAUCGGAACGUGCCUAGUAGUGGGGGAUAACUACUCGAAAGAGUGGCUAAUACCGCAUGAGAUCUACGGAUGAAAGCAGGGGAUCGCAAGACCUUGCACUACUAGAGCGGACGAUGGCAGAUUAGGUAGUUGGUGGGAUAAAAGCUUACCAAGCCGACGAUCUGUAGCUGGUCUGAGAGGACGAUCAGCCACACUGGGACUGAGACACGGCCCAGACUCCUACGGGAGGCAGCAGUGGGGAAUUUUGGACAAUGGGCGAAAGCCUGGUCCAGCAAUGCCGCGUGCAGGAUGAAGGCCUUCGGGUUGUAAACUGCUUUUGUACGGAACGAAAAGCCCUGGGUUAAUACCCUGGGGUCAUGACGGUACCGUAAGAAUAAGCACCGGCUAACUACGUGCCAGCCGCCGCAGUAA
Molecule: ribosomal RNA, 498 nt
Filed under: uncultured bacterium
Lineage: Bacteria
Description: partial 16S ribosomal RNA
Rfam family: Bacterial small subunit ribosomal RNA
Source: RNAcentral